This 257-nucleotide long non-coding RNA is filed under the name Solanum tuberosum (potato). Its description in RNAcentral is "long non-coding RNA (STUB_LNC009705)". Lineage: Eukaryota; Viridiplantae; Streptophyta; Magnoliopsida; Solanales; Solanaceae. The record is from RNAcentral.
GUGAGGGCCCCACUUCUAUAAAUGAGGGACUACAAACAUUUAAGAAAAGUUUCCCUUCUUUCACACUCUUAAUCGUGCAAUAGAGCUAAGUCACAGAGAUCUAUUCUAACUCGUGCAUUCUCAGAAUCAUUCGACUACCCAUCAUACUAGAGGUGGUUGAAAAGCAGAGUCAGUUCUUUGUCGAUGAGUUGUUCUUAGCAAUAGUCUUGAGAAAGUCAUGAGAAUUCAGAGGGGCUUAAGAGAAGCCCAAGAGUAAG